AUUGAACGCUGGCGGCAUGCUUUACACAUGCAAGUCGAACGGCAGCGCGGGCUUCGGCCUGGCGGCGAGUGGCGAACGGGUGAGUAAUACAUCGGAACGUGCCCAGUAGUGGGGGAUAGCUCGGCGAAAGCCGGAUUAAUACCGCAUACGACCUGAGGGUGAAAGCGGGGGAUCUUCGGACCUCGCGCUAUUGGAGCGGCCGAUGGCAGAUUAGCUAGUUGGUGGGGUAAAGGCCUACCAAGGCGACGAUCUGUAGCUGGUCUGAGAGGACGACCAGCCACACUGGGACUGAGACACGGCCCAGACUCCUACGGGAGGCAGCAGUGGGGAAUUUUGGACAAAGGGCGAAAGCCUGAUCCAGCAAUGCCGCGUGUGUGAUGAAGGCCCUCGGGUUGUAAAGCACUUUUGGCGGGAACGAAAAGGACUGUGCCAAUACCACGGUUCGAUGACGGUACCCGCAGAAUAAGCACCGGCUAACUACGUG
This 484-nucleotide ribosomal RNA is filed under the name uncultured bacterium. RNAcentral describes it as "partial 16S ribosomal RNA". It matches the Rfam family "Bacterial small subunit ribosomal RNA", at positions 29 to 507 of the family's 1533-position model. The record is from RNAcentral.